GCCAGUAGUCAUAUGCUUGUCUUAAAGAUUAAGCCAUGCAUGUCUAAGUAUAAAUAGUAUACAGUGAAACUGCGAAUGGCUCAUUAAAACAGUUAUAGUUUAUUUGAUAAUUGAAUUCUACAUGGAUAACCGUAGUAAUUCUAGAGCUAAUACAUGCAAUAUAGUCUGACUUUUUGGAAGGACUAGCACUUAUUAGAUAUUAAACCAGUCCCAGCAAUGGGUUUUAUGGUGAUUCAUAGUAACUGAACAAAUCACAUGGUCUUGUACCGGUGAUGUUUCAUUCAAAUUUCUGCCCUAUCAACUAGAUGGUAGUAUAUAGGACUACCAUGGUUGUAACGGGUAACGGAGGAUUAGGGUUUGAUUCCGGAGAAGGAGCAUGAGAAACGGCUACUAUUUCUAAGGAAAGCAGCAGGCG
Molecule: ribosomal RNA, 415 nt
Filed under: uncultured eukaryote
Lineage: Eukaryota
Description: bacterial SSU rRNA
Rfam family: Eukaryotic small subunit ribosomal RNA
Source: RNAcentral